AACGAACGCUGGCGGCAGGCCUAACACAUGCAAGUCGAACGCCCACUUCGGUGGGAGUGGCAGACGGGUGAGUAACACGUGGGAACCUACCUGAUGGUACGGAAUAACACAGGGAAACUU
Molecule: ribosomal RNA, 120 nt
Filed under: uncultured bacterium
Lineage: Bacteria
Description: partial 16S ribosomal RNA
Rfam family: Bacterial small subunit ribosomal RNA
Source: RNAcentral